GUGACUACGUCACCCUGAAUGCCCCAGUGAUUUUUGUCAGUUCUCAGAAGCUAAGCAAAGUUGAGCCUGGUUAGUACUUGGAUGAAAGACUUCCUGGAGCAUACCAAGUGUUCUAAGCU
This 119-nucleotide ribosomal RNA is filed under the name Petromyzon marinus (sea lamprey). The record is from RNAcentral. Lineage: Eukaryota; Metazoa; Chordata; Hyperoartia; Petromyzontiformes; Petromyzontidae.